Molecule: long non-coding RNA, 345 nt
Organism: Centruroides sculpturatus (bark scorpion)
Lineage: Eukaryota; Metazoa; Arthropoda; Arachnida; Scorpiones; Buthidae
Exons: 4
Source: RefSeq, a predicted model, not a curated record
GCUUAAGAAAAUAUCGUCUGGAUUUUUUACUUCUGUUCAUUUUAUUUACUCUUUACAUUAAAUUACUCAAAUGUUAUUUUUAAUUAAUGUUUUAAUCUAACUGAUCGUUAAUUGUUUCUUUCCAGAAAAGAUCCCGAUAGCAGAUGUAGUUUAGGAGCAAAUCAUCACAUCUUUAUUCCAGACUCCGAAUGAAGUCCUAGAAGAAAACAAAUAAUAUAAAUCUUCAACAGCAACAAGUCUACAGAUAGAAUUCAAAUAAGUUAUAUCAGGUAUAAGAAUUCCGAUCUUCUGUCUACGAAUGUAUAGGUCCUGUAUACAUAUAAACUGUAAGUUACCUAUAGGCAA